GAUUUAGAUUGGCCUGGAGUACAAUAGUUACUCCAAGUGUACCGUAUACUAAUUGCAAAUUUUCACGCUCCUAAAGCAAAAGCCCCAAUAUUUUAUUCUCUCUCUCUCUCUCUCUCUCUCUCCCACUGUUUGCUGGUUCAGGUGCUCUCUUCUCCUUCCAUGGGUUUGGGUACUUGCGGUCUGCUAUUGGAAUUCUGGAGGUGGAGGAAACUACUUAUAAGUUUCAGAAGAAGCUAUUCAAUUGGUAGAUUAAGAGUGUUACUUGCAGCAAGAUUCUCAAGGUAUAUUCACAUCCUUUAUUAUUUCAAUAUUGAGACAUUCUAUGAUUUGCUGUUAUUUGAGAUAUGCUACUAAUUAAUAGUUGAUAGAUUUAUUUUGCAUUGUGUUUAUAAAUUAGCAUUUAACAUUAUGUAGGAAAUUAGGAAUAAAAUGAAUUCAUUUACUCAGUGUAAAUGAUAAAAAGCAGGUUAUAUGAGUGCUAGCUUUAUUUUUCCUCGGCGAUUGCAAAUAUUUGAGCGGGUAUGAAUUCCAUUAAUUUAUGAAAAUUUUGUAGUUUGUCUAAUCCUUUUUCGUGUAUGUGAUGUUGGCUUUCCUGUGUGUGUGAACCCCAUAUUUUUGAACUUUCGUCUUGGUUGUGACCCUUUAGUUAUUGGACUUUGAUAGGCGGUCGCACACCUAGCAAAAAUAACCUAACUAACCACUACUAUGUAGACAGGCAAGUAAGGGUCGAAUCCCAAGAAACUAAAGUUCAACUAAUUAAUUAGACUCAAAUUCUUACUUGGCAAUAAUCAACAAUGAUCGAAUAACUAAAGAACUAAUGUAUGGAAAAUCGAAAAUAAACUAAGGAAUAUGAUAAUCAAAUAAUUAAAACAUCCAAGAUCUAGUAUCACCACAAUUACGCUUGAUGCAAUUAUAUUUCUACCCCUGACAUACGAUUCCAAUUGAAAGGGAAAAAGUAAACCCUAAUUAAUACCAAGGACCUUUCUCGAGUAUCAAUGACUUCCCUAACAUACAAUCAAGCCUAUUCUCAUGGUAUCAUGCACAUUAGAGACAUUAAACACAUUACUCUAACUUCCUAAUUAUCAACCCAACUAUUCUCAUGUUGAAAAUCAAACCCUAAAUUAAUCUACUCAAAU
This is a long non-coding RNA of Chenopodium quinoa (quinoa), 1136 nucleotides long. RefSeq lists it as uncharacterized. NCBI's taxonomy places the organism in Eukaryota, Viridiplantae, Streptophyta, Magnoliopsida, Caryophyllales, Amaranthaceae. The record is from RefSeq and is a predicted model, not a curated record. The transcript has 3 exons.